GUCCAAGGAGUUUAUCGUGUACGCAAGUCAUUGGGUGAAUAAAACCCAAAGGCGAAAUGAAAGUAAAGAGUUGAGUUUAUAAUUGAGAAUUUAUUCUCUAUUAUUUCUCUCUUUAGGGAAGAUGAAAAUUUAAUUUAUAAUCUAUUUUAGUUUAUUUAUUUAAAUUUUUCGCAUUCCUAGGGCGCUUGUGUUCACGCUUUGCGUGUCGAUGCGCACCCAGAGCGUACACGCUGAUACCCGAAAGAUGGUGAACUAUGCCUGGCCAGGACGAAGCCAGGGGAAACCCUGGUGGAGGUCCGCAGCGAUUCUGACGUGCAAAUCGAUCGUCGGAGCUGGGUAUAGGGGCGAAAGACCAAUCGAACCAUCUAGUAGCUGGUUCCCUCUGAAGUUUCCCUCAGGAUAGCUUGCGCUCGUCUUAUGAGUCUCAUCCGGUAGAGCGAAUGAUUAGAGGCAUUGGGGUCGAAACGACCUCAACCUAUUCUCAAACUCCAAAUAGAUGAGACCCCCGGCUUUCUUAAAAUUGAAGCCGUGGGAUUAGGAUCAGAGUGCCAAGUGGGCCAAUUUUGGUAA
This 570-nucleotide ribosomal RNA is filed under the name Zelus laticornis. RNAcentral's name for it is "eukaryotic LSU rRNA". It matches the Rfam family "Eukaryotic large subunit ribosomal RNA", at positions 666 to 1143 of the family's 3401-position model. The record is from RNAcentral. Lineage: Eukaryota; Metazoa; Arthropoda; Insecta; Hemiptera; Reduviidae.